Molecule: ribosomal RNA, 116 nt
Filed under: Escherichia coli
Lineage: Bacteria; Pseudomonadati; Pseudomonadota; Gammaproteobacteria; Enterobacterales; Enterobacteriaceae
Source: RNAcentral
CCUGGCGGCAGUAGCGCGGUGGUCCCACCUGACCCCAUGCCGAACUCAGAAGUGAAACGCCGUAGCGCCGAUGGUAGUGUGGGGUCUCCCCAUGCGAGAGUAGGGAACUGCCGGCA